AAAGAAGGGGUAGAUCUAAACUGAUUUGGAGGAGAGUAUUACAACAUAAGCAUUACAUGUUUUCGAGGAUUUAACCCAAAAUCAUUCGUUUAGAAUGGAGAAAUAGAAUCUAUCACCGACCCUAAAUUCUUGGGAUAAAAGCUUAAUUAAGUUAAUUUGAGUUUCUUCGAGAGAGACUGCCUAAGUCUUUCAAGCAAGAUGUUGUGCUGGCUAUGGCGCUUGCUUAUGUGGA
This 232-nucleotide unclassified non-coding RNA is filed under the name Hevea brasiliensis (rubber tree). Lineage: Eukaryota; Viridiplantae; Streptophyta; Magnoliopsida; Malpighiales; Euphorbiaceae. The record is from RNAcentral.